UUUCAGUGAUGAAAGUGUGAGAUUUAAAGCUGAUUGGUGGAGUGUUCCCUUAGGAAUAAAAGGUAUGAAAGUGACAUUAUACCUUACAACAUAUAUUAAUGUCAUCAUUGGCCUACGAUGGAAUGUGAAAAUGUCCUCAAACAUGAAUAUUUUUAUCCUUGUCUAAGCAAAGGCUAUAUAUACAAGAGUUUUUUUCUCUGUUUCUCUCUUAAACUCUUCUUAGAAUAACUUCCUUCUUCUUCUUCACUACAUUACAUGAGCCACACUUUCAUCAAAUGGGGUGGCUUCAAUCCCUCAUCUCUCCAUUGAAGAAGGUUUGGUUCAAGUUACAUUCAACUCAAAAGAAGAGAAGAGGGAUAUACAUUCUAUAUGAAGAUGUGAAAUCUUGUCCCUAUGAAGAUGUUCAAAUCCUCUGGUCAAUAUUAGUGGAAUCACAUCCAGCUUCUAUAGCGUCGCGAAAAUGAAGAAGACAACAUAAAUGAGAAGAGACUUGAUGUAAUAAUGUAUAUAAAAUAUUUAGAAAUCAUCACAGAUUAUCCAUUGCUUUUUUACAA
Lathyrus oleraceus (garden pea) is the source of this 554-nucleotide long non-coding RNA. RefSeq lists it as uncharacterized. Lineage: Eukaryota; Viridiplantae; Streptophyta; Magnoliopsida; Fabales; Fabaceae. The transcript is spliced from 2 exons. The record is from RefSeq and is a predicted model, not a curated record.